UACGUAGGGUGCAAGCGUUAAUCGGAAUUACUGGGCGUAAAGCGUGCGCAGGCGGUCCGUCGCGUCGUGCGUGAAAGACCCCGGCUCAACUGGGGGAUGUCGUGCGAUACGGGCGGACUGGAGGCCAGUAGGGGGAUGCGGAAUUCCGGGUGUAGUGGUGGAAUGCGUAGAGAUCCGGAGGAACACCAGCGGCGAAGGCGGCAUCCUGGACUGGUCCUGACACUCAGGAGCGAAAGCGUGGGGAGCGAUCCGG
This 253-nucleotide ribosomal RNA is filed under the name uncultured bacterium. RNAcentral's name for it is "partial 16S ribosomal RNA". It matches the Rfam family "Bacterial small subunit ribosomal RNA", at positions 524 to 776 of the family's 1533-position model. The record is from RNAcentral.